Long non-coding RNA from Fukomys damarensis (Damara mole-rat), 1105 nucleotides. RefSeq lists it as uncharacterized. Lineage: Eukaryota; Metazoa; Chordata; Mammalia; Rodentia; Bathyergidae. The transcript is spliced from 3 exons. The record is from RefSeq and is a predicted model, not a curated record.
CGGGGUCAGGCGAGGAAACUGAGGCCGGCUCUCUUGACCGCCAACGCAGCCCCUGCGGGGAUGGGACCUAGGACGAGAUUCCACUCCUUCCCCACCUGUAAAAUGGGCCAACCCAUUAGGGCUAAGCCCAUAAAAGCACUUAGCACCGUGCCUGAUUUAUGCUGAGUUUACAGGCCAGGCUAAUGCUGCUUAGGCACCACCACCCCACUUUACAGAGGAGGAACCCCGCGGGGGAAAGGAUGACUACCUUGCGGGAGAUCACUCAGCUAAGAAUGUUUAUGUAUUUGGGAAGAAGAUUCUCGAACUUGAAAGCACAAACUCCAGAACCACUUGGCCUGAGCUCAAAUUCUGACUCUGCCACUUAUUCUUGAAGCACAUUUAAGACCUCUGUGUACCCAGUUCCCUCAUCUGAAAAUUGGAAGAGCAGAAGUUGUCUUGGAGAUCGUUGAUGGAUGGCCACAGCUCUUCCUCUACCAGCUCGCAGUACACCUGUUGUGUACGUGCGUAAGCCUGCGCACGGACCUCCCACGUGACCGAUGGCUGUCUCCUUCCAGGCCUGGGAAAUCACCACUAAGCACUCAAGGUCUAAUUCAGAGACCACUUGCCCCAGGGAGCCUCCCCAGAGUCCCCAAAUGCAUCAGUGAUAAUCCUUUCCUCCCCUGCGUCCGCACAAUAAUUGCCUUUUCUAAGACCUGCAGCCUCUUCCUUGCCCUACUCCAGAUCCAGGUCUUUGCAGAAGCGUUUCUGAGAUCUUGGGCUCUUCCAACCCGGCCCCCCCCCGUCCCCCUCCACACUUUUGCAGAAUGGAAAAGAGGGAGAAUUUUUGGGCCCUAAGUGGCCGCUGGAUAAGCUAAUUGUUCACCGGAGGACGGUGGCUUUUGAAGGCAGAAGAACUGGGGAAUUUCGUGGGGUGGUGGGCAGGUGUGGAGGAAGUGACAGUCUCCUGGGCCCGCGCGUGAGUGGAAGUGGCCGACAUGGGCCGCAGGGCGAGGUUUAAGUAAAAAGACUGCCCCGGGAAUGCGUGUGAUGCCCGCAGGAACGGCCAGACCUGCAGCCCAGCGCCCCCGCCUGGGCGCGGCCAGUGCAGCCGCAGGUCCUUUUCCGG